UCGAGCGGAGAGAGGUAGCUUGCUACUGAUCUUAGCGGCGGACGGGUGAGUAAUGCUUAGGAAUCUGCCUAUUAGUGGGGGACAACAUUUCGAAAGGAAUGCUAAUACCGCAUACGUCCUACGGGAGAAAGCAGGGGAUCUUCGGACCUUGCGCUAAUAGAUGAGCCUAAGUCGGAUUAGCUAGUUGGUGGGGUAAAGGCCUACCAAGGCGACGAUCUGUAGCGGGUCUGAGAGGAUGAUCCGCCACACUGGGACUGAGACACGGCCCAGACUCCUACGGGAGGCAGCAGUGGGGAAUAUUGGACAAUGGGCGCAAGCCUGAUCCAGCCAUGCCGCGUGUGUGAAGAAGGCCUUAUGGUUGUAAAGCACUUUAAGCGAGGAGGAGGCUACUUUAGUUAAUACCUAGAGAUAGUGGACGUUACUCGCAGAAUAAGCACCGGCUAACUCUGUGCCAGCAGCCGCGGUAAUACAGAGGGUGCAAGCGUUAAUCGGAUUUACUGGGCGUAAAGCGCGCGUAGGCGGCUAAUUAAGUCAAAUGUGAAAUCCCCGAGCUUAACUUGGGAAUUGCAUUCGAUACUGGUUAGCUAGAGUGUGGGAGAGGAUGGUAGAAUUCCAGGUGUAGCGGUGAAAUGCGUAGAGAUCUGGAGGAAUACCGAUGGCGAAGGCAGCCAUCUGGCCUAACACUGACGCUGAGGUGCGAAAGCAUGGGGAGCAAACAGGAUUAGAUACCCUGGUAGUCCAUGCCGUAAACGAUGUCUACUAGCCGUUGGGGCCUUUGAGGCUUUAGUGGCGCAGCUAACGCGAUAAGUAGACCGCCUGGGGAGUACGGUCGCAAGACUAAAACUCAAAUGAAUUGACGGGGGCCCGCACAAGCGGUGGAGCAUGUGGUUUAAUUCGAUGCAACGC
RNAcentral lists this ribosomal RNA (906 nucleotides) under bacterium. RNAcentral describes it as "bacterial SSU rRNA". It matches the Rfam family "Bacterial small subunit ribosomal RNA", at positions 62 to 962 of the family's 1533-position model. The record is from RNAcentral.